GUAGGGUGCGAGCGUUGCCCGGAUUUAUUGGGCGUAAAGGGCGCGCAGGCGGCUACGCACGUCCGUUGUGAAAUCGCUCGGCUCAACUGGGCGGGGUCAGCGGAUACGGCGUAGCUGGAGCAAGCUAGGGGGCAAUGGAAUUCCCGGUGUAGUGGUGGAAUGCGUAGAUAUCGGGAGGAACACCAGUGGCGAAGGCGGUUGCCUGGAGCUUUGCUGACGCUGAGGCGCGAAAGCGUGGGGAGCGAUCCGGAUUAGAUACCCGGGUAGUCCACGCCGUAAACGAUGCGGACUAGGUGUCGGGGGUAUCGACCCCCUCGGCGCCGCAGCUAACGCAUUAAGUCCGCCGCCUGGGGACUACGGCCGCAUGGCUA
RNAcentral lists this ribosomal RNA (371 nucleotides) under uncultured bacterium. RNAcentral describes it as "bacterial SSU rRNA". It matches the Rfam family "Bacterial small subunit ribosomal RNA", at positions 527 to 896 of the family's 1533-position model. The record is from RNAcentral.